AGGCCAAUGACACUGGGUAGAAGAGUGAGUUCACUGAAACCAUGGAUGUUUGCCCUUAUUGUCAGAGCUGUUGUGUUGAUUCUGGUGAUACUGAUUGGUCUCCUUGUUUAUUUUUUGGCAUAUGGCCUGAAGUUUUACUAUUACCAGACCUCCUUCCAGAUCCCCAGUAUUGAAUAUAAUCCUGAUUUUUCAGUAGAACACUCAAAACUUAGCACCGACCUGAAACAAAAAGUCAGUAACGAGAUAUUUCAGAGAUCCAAUUUAAACCAUCAUUACAUAAAGUGUCAAGUUGUCAACUUUAGGAUUUUGUUUUUCAGGCCAAGUAAUGACAAUUUGAAAGCAGAUGUAUUGCUUAAAUUUCAGUUUAUUCCUAACAAUGAGAACGCAAUAAAAACACAAGCUGAUAACAUUUUGCAUCAGAAGUUGAAAUCAAAUGAAAGCUUCUUGAAGACAGACACUUCAUUACCUUAUCUUAGACUGGGUUUUUUUUCAGAUAUGAAUGCAGCACAAGCAGAACACAUUCUGAACAGCAUUGCAAGAAAAGGUGAUUGGCCUGGCAAGCUAGCCUGCAGGUGGAGGGGAUCCAUUUGUGUGGUGCAUCUUUGAUCAGUGAAGAGUGGCUCCUGACAGCGGGUCACUGUUUUGACUUUGAAGAAAAACCCAAACUCUGGAUGGCUAGUUUUGGAAUAACCCGAAUCCCUCACUAAUGAGAAGAAAGGGGGAGUCAAUUAUUAUUCAUGAGAACUAUGCUGCCCAUAAACACGAGGAUGAUAUCGCUGUAGUGAAGCUCUUCACCCCCAUCAUAUUUUCCAAUGAGGUGCACAGAGUCUGUCUUCCAGAAGCUACUUUUGAAGCCUUGCCUAAGAGUAAAGUGUUUGUCACUGGAUGGGGAGCACUUAAAUUAGAUGGUCCCUUUCCCAAUAUGCUACGGGAAGUUGAGGUAGAGAUCAUAAGUAAUGAUAUAUGUAAUCAAGUUCAUGUGUAUGUAUCAUCAGGAAUGAUAUGUGCUGGAUUCUUGUCAGGAAAACUAGAUGCCUGUAAGGGUGAUUCUGGAGGUCCUCUGGUUAUUGCACGUGAUAGAAAUGCCUGGUACCUUGUUGGAAUAGUAAGCUGGGGAAUAGACUGUGGAAAAUAAAACAAGCCAGGACUUUAUACCGAAGUGACUCAUUAUUGGGACUGGAUUAAAUCUAAAACUAACAUCUAA
This 1204-nucleotide long non-coding RNA is filed under the name Homo sapiens (human). RNAcentral describes it as "non-protein coding lnc-TMPRSS11A-1:1". Lineage: Eukaryota; Metazoa; Chordata; Mammalia; Primates; Hominidae. The record is from RNAcentral.